CUUCCUAAGGGGCCGCCCCCAGGUGGUGAAGCAUGGCCUGAUGUGACGAGCAUGGAACUUAUGGGUCAUAUAGGUCAUCAGUUGUGGAACAAAGUGACUAAUAUCCACAGCUAGAGUUCCUGUUUUCUAGUUUUCCCGAUUUUGACCAUUCCGCCUGCCCUGACCCUGAGACUGCCUGCCGUUCUGUACCUUGUCACACCACCCUGGAUUUUUGACCUCUGCCUGCCCUGACCCUGAGCCUGCCUGCCUGCCAUUCUGUACCUUGUCACACCACCCUGGAUUUCUACCUCCGCCUGCCCUGACCCCGAGACUGCCUGCCGUUCUGUACCUUUUGGACUCUGAUCUGGAUUACUGACCUCUGCCUGCCCUUGACCUGUCGUUUUGCCU
This 387-nucleotide long non-coding RNA is filed under the name Salmo salar (Atlantic salmon). Its description in RNAcentral is "lncRNA (ENSSSAG00000100560.1, ENSSSAG00020078339.1, ENSSSAG00075034255.1)". Lineage: Eukaryota; Metazoa; Chordata; Actinopteri; Salmoniformes; Salmonidae. The record is from RNAcentral.